RNAcentral lists this ribosomal RNA (253 nucleotides) under uncultured bacterium. RNAcentral's name for it is "partial 16S ribosomal RNA". It matches the Rfam family "Bacterial small subunit ribosomal RNA", at positions 524 to 776 of the family's 1533-position model. The record is from RNAcentral.
UACGGGGGGAGCAAGCGUUGUUCGGAAUCACUGGGCGUAAAGAGCUCGUAGGCGGCUGUUCAAGUCGAACGUGAAAACUCGGAGCUCAACUCCGAGCCUGCGUUCGAUACUGGACGGCUAGAGUCUGGUAGGGGGAUCUGGAAUUCCUGGUGUAGCGGUGGAAUGCGCAGAUAUCAGGAGGAACACCGGUGGCGAAGGCGGGAUCCUGGGCCAGUACUGACGCUGAGGAGCGAAAGCGUGGGGAGCGAACGGG